Nycticebus coucang (slow loris) is the source of this 136-nucleotide small nuclear RNA. RefSeq annotates it as U4 spliceosomal RNA. NCBI's taxonomy places the organism in Eukaryota, Metazoa, Chordata, Mammalia, Primates, Lorisidae. The record is from RefSeq and is a predicted model, not a curated record. The transcript has a single exon.
AGCUUUGCCUAGUGGCAGUAGUGUAGCCAAUGAGGUUUACUGAGGCGCGAUUAUUGCUAAUAGAUAUAUAAAAAUUAUAGUUUGUGAAAUUAUCAGAAACAGAAUACAACAUAAUUUAUGUUUGAUACUGCACAAU